RNAcentral lists this ribosomal RNA (777 nucleotides) under uncultured Neocallimastigales. RNAcentral describes it as "partial large subunit ribosomal RNA". It matches the Rfam family "Eukaryotic large subunit ribosomal RNA", at positions 23 to 646 of the family's 3401-position model. The record is from RNAcentral. Lineage: Eukaryota; Fungi; Neocallimastigomycota; Neocallimastigomycetes; Neocallimastigales.
AGAGAGAGACAUGCGCGCAUAUCAAUAAGCGGAGGAAAAGAAACUAACUAGGAUUCCCUCAGUAACGGCGAGUGAAGCGGGAAGAGCUCAAAUUUGAAAUCUUCAAGGUUCUACCUUGACGAAUUGUAGUUUAAAGAAGUGUUUUCUGUUGGAGUUUUGGUAAAAGUUCUUUGGAAUAGGACAUCAUAGAGGGUGAGAAUCCCGUAUUUGACCAUUAUUUCCAGCUUUGUGAUACACUUUCAAAGAGUCGGAUUGUUUGGGAAUGCAGUCCAAAAUGGGUGGUAAAUUUCAUCUAAAGCUAAAUAUUGGCGAGAGACCGAUAGCGAACAAGUACCGUGAGGGAAAGACUGAAAAGAACUUUGAAAAGAGAGUUAAACAGUACGUGAAAUUGUCAAAAGGGAAGCGUUUGACACCAGUGUUGUUUUCUCGAAAAUCAAUUAAAAAAGGCAGGAUUUUGUGUUGUAUUGACUUUAUCAGCUUUCUGCACUCUUUUCUUGUCUUUUUUUAAUGCACUUUUCGUUUAACAAGUCAACAUCAAUUUCUUUUGUUGUAAAAGGGUCAUUGGAAGGUGGCUUUCUUUUCGGAGAAAGUGUUUAUAGCCUUUGGCCUCUGCAAUCGGAGAGAUUGAGGUCUGCAGCGUAGAUCCUUCGGGGUUAGAUACAUUUGUGCUAAGUUAUAGCCUUUUCAUAGACAACUUGUUGACUAUGAUCAGUCAUGUAGCUUACUCGCUUAUGCUAUUUUACCUACGCUUAGGAUGUUGAUGUGAUACUGCGAGCA